AUGGGAUGCCCCUGUGCAGUCUUGAGCAAAGAGAGCGGAAGCUAAUACAGAAAAAGGAAAAAUAGAAAUCAGAGCUUCAUAACAGAACAUGUUAGAACUCAAAACCCUAACCCUACACCUCAGCAAGCGAUUAAUGCUAAACCUACCAUCUUUAGCUGCGUGAAAAUCCGAACCCAAAAUUGCCUGCAAAGAUCGGAUUAACAAUCAAAUAAACUGAUCCCUUUUUUCGGCCGAGACAAUGUACACAAAGAAAAAGCAGUAAAAUCAUUAAAUUUCUCUCUUUUUUACCAUCAAAACCUUGAUACUACAUGAAUGUUUUCCAAAAAUACGUGAUGAUAGAGAAAAUGAAUCCACUAUAGAGAUUUGAAAAGGAUAUUCAAAGCCUUUUACCUUGUUAAUCUUUGUCUUUUUCUUCCACGAAAACGUAGGGUUCCUUCAAAGUGGCAGGGUAUUACACUUGCAGUGUAUUAAGUAGAGUAGAGCUUGUUGUAAAUUGAAAAUUGAAAAUUUUCCAUUAUACCGACGUUGCGACUAUGAAAGUAUGACUUGGGUUACACGCUGGCU
Molecule: long non-coding RNA, 564 nt
Filed under: Nicotiana tabacum (common tobacco)
Lineage: Eukaryota; Viridiplantae; Streptophyta; Magnoliopsida; Solanales; Solanaceae
Description: long non-coding RNA (NTAB_LNC006946)
Source: RNAcentral